This 614-nucleotide ribosomal RNA is filed under the name uncultured bacterium. RNAcentral describes it as "bacterial SSU rRNA". It matches the Rfam family "Bacterial small subunit ribosomal RNA", at positions 66 to 669 of the family's 1533-position model. The record is from RNAcentral.
GUUAUCUGAACCUUCGGGGAACGAUAACGGCGUCGAGCGGCGGACGGGUGAGUAAUGCCUAGGAAAUUGCCCUGAUGUGGGGGAUAACCAUUGGAAACGAUGGCUAAUACCGCAUGAUGCCUACGGGCCAAAGAGGGGGACCUUCGGGCCUCUCGCGUCAGGAUAUGCCUAGGUGGGAUUAGCUAGUUGGUGAGGUAAGGGCUCACCAAGGCGACGAUCCCUAGCUGGUCUGAGAGGAUGAUCAGCCACACUGGAACUGAGACACGGUCCAGACUCCUACGGGAGGCAGCAGUGGGGAAUAUUGCACAAUGGGCGCAAGCCUGAUGCAGCCAUGCCGCGUGUGUGAAGAAGGCCUUCGGGUUGUAAAGCACUUUCAGUCGUGAGGAAGGUGGUGUAGUUAAUAGCUGCAUUANUUGACGUUAGCGACAGAAGAAGCACCGGCUAACUCCGUGCCAGCAGCCGCGGUAAUACGGAGGGUGCGAGCGUUAAUCGGAAUUACUGGGCGUAAAGCGCAUGCAGGUGGUUUGUUAAGUCAGAUGUGAAAGCCCGGGGCUCAACCUCGGAAUAGCAUUUGAAACUGGCAGACUAGAGUACUGUAGAGGGGGGUAGAAUUU